RNAcentral lists this ribosomal RNA (447 nucleotides) under uncultured bacterium. Its description in RNAcentral is "partial 16S ribosomal RNA". It matches the Rfam family "Bacterial small subunit ribosomal RNA", at positions 29 to 523 of the family's 1533-position model. The record is from RNAcentral.
AGCGAACGCUGGCGGCAGGCUUAACACAUGCAAGUCGAACGCCCCGCAAGGGGAGUGGCAGACGGGUGAGUAACACGUGGGAACGUACCCUUUGGUUCGGAAUAACUUGGGGAAACUUGAGCUAAUACCGGAUACGUGCGAGAGCAGAAAGAUUUAUCGCCGAAGGAUCGGCCCGCGUCCGAUUAGCUAGUUGGUGAGGUAAUGGCUCACCAAGGCGACGAUCGGUAGCUGGUCUGAGAGGAUGACCAGCCACACUGGGACUGAGACACGGCCCAGACUCCUACGGGAGGCAGCAGUGGGGAAUAUUGGACAAUGGGCGCAAGCCUGAUCCAGCCAUGCCGCGUGAGUGAUGAAGGCCCUAGGGUUGUAAAGCUCUUUCGCCAGGGACGAUAAUGACGGUACCUGGAUAAGAAGCCCCGGCUAACUUCGUGCCAGCCGCCGCAGUAA